AGUGAACGCUGGCGGUAGGCCUAACACAUGCAAGUCGAACGGCAGCACAGUAAGAGCUUGCUCUUACGGGCGGUGAGUGGCGGACGGGUGAGGAAUACAUCGGAAUCUACUUUUUCGUGGGGGAUAACGUAGGGAAACUUACGCUAAUACCGCAUACGACCUACGGGUGAAAGCAGGGGAUCUUCGGACCUUGCGCGAUUGAAUGAGCCGAUGUCGGAUUAGCUAGUUGGCGGGGUAAAGGCCCACCAAGGCGACGAUCCGUAGCUGGUCUGAGAGGAUGAUCAGCCACACUGGAACUGAGACACGGUCCAGACUCCUACGGGAGGCAGCAGUGGGGAAUAUUGGACAAUGGGCGCAAGCCUGAUCCAGCCACACCGCGUGGGUGAAGAAGGCCUUCGGGUUGUAAAGCCCUUUUGUUGGGAAAGAAAAGCAGCAGGUUAAUACCCCGCUGUUCUGACGGUACCCAAAGAAUAAGCACCGGCUAACUUCGUG
RNAcentral lists this ribosomal RNA (492 nucleotides) under uncultured bacterium. RNAcentral describes it as "partial 16S ribosomal RNA". It matches the Rfam family "Bacterial small subunit ribosomal RNA", at positions 29 to 507 of the family's 1533-position model. The record is from RNAcentral.